UUUAGACUUAUAAAGAGCGUUUUCUGAUGAAAAACUUUUAAUGGGCAGAGUAUAGGAAAAUUAGAAAUGCCUAAAUACUUACGACCUGGUCUGGUAAGAUGCUAAUAAUUGUAAAAAAGCUUUAGUUUUAUUAGUACCUUUUGUAUAAUGGCCUUUCGAGGGGCUUUACCUUAGUGGUUUCUCCUGAAUUAAAAAGAUUUUUUGGGGGUUUAUAAGGUUAACGAUGUAAGGAAUCUUUUAAUCCCUCAAAAGAUGUGAUAUGCAAUAUCGGGUUUUAGUGUAGCUGGUUACGUAAAAAAUGCUUUUAGGUGCAGCUUUAAAGUUAUUUUAUGCGCAAAACAAAGUGCGUAAGGGUUAUUAAAAGCUUUAAAAGUGAGAAGUCUGGCUAAAGGUCAUACUAAGUUGUCUUCUGAUGUUUACACACCUUAAAUAGAGAAAUUGGAUUUAAAAUGUCCGUUUUGAUAAGAGUAUUUAACAACUUGUCUUUUAAGGGUUGGUAUAAUAAGUUUGAUUAACAGAGGCGCGCAUCAUUACGUAACUGCCUAAAAUGGGAUAAGGUGGCAUUUUAUGUUAGGAUUAGUAGCAUUUAUA
This 591-nucleotide ribosomal RNA is filed under the name Saccostrea kegaki. RNAcentral describes it as "partial 16S ribosomal RNA". Lineage: Eukaryota; Metazoa; Mollusca; Bivalvia; Ostreida; Ostreidae. The record is from RNAcentral.